Long non-coding RNA from Amblyraja radiata (thorny skate), 104 nucleotides. RefSeq lists it as uncharacterized. The transcript is spliced from 3 exons. NCBI's taxonomy places the organism in Eukaryota, Metazoa, Chordata, Chondrichthyes, Rajiformes, Rajidae. The record is from RefSeq and is a predicted model, not a curated record.
UCGAGACCCUUCUUCAGAUCCAGGCUGGUUUUCAGAUUCCAAGUCUGUGGUGGGAAACGCGGGGCCCCAUUGCAGGCAGGAUGUGUAGGAAGGAACUGCUGAUG